RNAcentral lists this non-coding RNA (85 nucleotides) under Firmicutes bacterium CAG:646. Its description in RNAcentral is "ZMP/ZTP riboswitch aptamer (pfl RNA motif)". It matches the Rfam family "ZMP/ZTP riboswitch aptamer (pfl RNA motif)". From Rfam's summary of the family: Previously known as pfl RNA. ZMP is also known as AICAR. RNAcentral also lists the same sequence under 1 other name. Lineage: Bacteria; Bacillati; Bacillota. The record is from Rfam by way of RNAcentral.
AGUGGAUCUGAGUACUGACGGAAGAUAAUGUGGAAGACCACAGGGGAAUCAGAUUUGUAAGAAGCCGACCGUCUGGGCAACAUUU